This 295-nucleotide unclassified non-coding RNA is filed under the name plant metagenome. RNAcentral describes it as "partial contains 5.8S ribosomal RNA, internal transcribed spacer 2, and large subunit ribosomal RNA". The stretch from base 1 to 105 matches the Rfam family "5.8S ribosomal RNA", at positions 50 to 154 of the family's 154-position model. The record is from RNAcentral.
GAAAUGCGAUAAGUAAUGUGAAUUGCAGAAUUCAGUGAAUCAUCGAAUCUUUGAACGCACCUUGCACCUCUUGGUAUUCCUUGAGGUAUACCUGUCCGAGCGCCGUUUGUGUCAUAAGGCUCCGCCUUGCGAUGAGGGAUUCCGCGAAGGAACCGUCGAAACGAAUGGGCGUCUGUUCCCAAGUCCGAACUGCAGCGAAGAUGCGAUGAAGGCUUUUGGGAGAGGCCGCAUGUGUUUGAGAGUCAAUCUCCAAGCAUGGCCUCGGAUCAGGUAGGGAUACCCGCUGAACUUAAGC